ACUCCUACGGGAGGCAGCAGUAAGGAAUAUUGGUCAAUGGAGGGAACUCUGAACCAGCCAUGCCGCGUGAAGGAUGACGGCCCUCUGGGUUGUAAACUUCUUUUGGAUGGGGCGAAAAAACGGGAUUUAUCCUGGACUGACGGUACCAUCAGAAUAAGCACCGGCUAACUCCGUGCCAGCAGCCGCGGUAAUACGGAGGGUGCAAGCGUUAUCCGGAAUCACUGGGUUUAAAGGGUGCGUAGGCGGUUGUAUAAGUCAGGGGUGAAAGGAUGCAGCUUAACUGUAUAAUUGCCUUUGAUACUGUAUGACUUGAAUAAGGUUGAGGUUGGCGGAAUGUGACAUGUAGCGGUGAAAUGCUUAGAUAUGUCAUGGAACACCGAUUGCGAAGGCAGCUGACUGGGCCUUUAUUGACGCUGAGGCACGAAAGCGUGGGUAGCGAACAGGAUUAGAUACCCUGGUAGUC
This 463-nucleotide ribosomal RNA is filed under the name uncultured bacterium. RNAcentral describes it as "bacterial SSU rRNA". It matches the Rfam family "Bacterial small subunit ribosomal RNA", at positions 335 to 795 of the family's 1533-position model. The record is from RNAcentral.